Molecule: ribosomal RNA, 274 nt
Filed under: uncultured bacterium
Lineage: Bacteria
Description: partial 16S ribosomal RNA
Rfam family: Bacterial small subunit ribosomal RNA
Source: RNAcentral
AUACAGAGGGUGCAAGCGUUAAUCGGAAUUACUGGGCGUAAAGCGCGCGUAGGCGGUUUAAUCAGUCGGAUGUGAAAGCCCUGGGCUCAACCUGGGAAUUGCAUUCGAUACUGCCAAGCUAGAGUAUGGGAGAGGGAAGUGGAAUUUCCGGUGUAGCGGUGAAAUGCGUAGAUAUCGGAAAGAACACCAGUGGCGAAGGCGACUUCCUGGCCCAAUACUGACGCUGAGGUGCGAAAGCGUGGGGAGCAAACAGGAUUAGAAACCCUAGUAGUCC